RNAcentral lists this ribosomal RNA (76 nucleotides) under Pontibacter akesuensis. Its description in RNAcentral is "partial 23S rRNA. Bacterial LSU". The record is from RNAcentral. Lineage: Bacteria; Pseudomonadati; Bacteroidota; Cytophagia; Cytophagales; Hymenobacteraceae.
AGACGAUGACGUCGAUAGGUGGCAGGUGUAAAGGUGGAAACACCAAAGCCGAGCCAUACUAAUUGCCCGAGCGCGU